UAUUACGGGAAGGCACAUUUUCUGUAGCUUUGCCCGAAGAGAGAAGCUGUUUUCUCUCAGAGAUGGAACAUGUUAGCUGGUUGCCAUGAUGUCUUCAUUUGUCCAUCGCUGCCCCUCUGUGAGCAGGCAGCCAUCAGGACAGAGAGUGGCAUGCUGGACAGGCCGACUCUGACAAGGAGCAAGCUACGCAGACAUUGUGCUGGAAUUUCUAUGCUGAAGAAUUAAGCUAUAUUGUUUGGCAAAAGAAGAAACUGAAAACAAGAAAUCCAUCCCUUUCUACCACUGCUAUUAUAUCAUCCACGUUUAAAAAAAAAAAGUUUGUAUGUAGUUAUAUACAACAAGAAGUUUCUGCUUCGGAUUUCUCUGUUGGGCAGGGUGGUGGGAGGGAUGGGGUCUCGAGUUUUUCCCAAGUGAAAUCCUGGUAAUCCUGCCUGAGAGAAUUCUUAUGAAAGUUUCACUCACAAUGAAAGCAAACUUCCAAGGUGGAGGAGGGUGAAGCCGGCUGGCUGGACCGAUCACUGAGGCCCAGUGCUGCGAAGAGAGUUCAGCACAUUAUUCCAACCCUUUCUGGGAGCACGGCCCAGGCUUGGCACCGGUUUGGUGUUCUCGAGUGUGAUGCAUUCUGAAAACCUGGCUGCGUCCGUGGCCCAGCUCCAGUUCUGCAGGGCUCAGCAUCAGGCUGCCCCCUCUCCUAAGGUGUUUUGCAGGAUCGCCCCUCAGAGCUAAACACCCACCAGCUGACCACCUGUUCCAGGUGAUGGGAUUUUGGCUCAGAUCAGCCUGGAUCAGGGUGGACCUCUACAAGCUGGCUUGCAUGAAUGUAAAUGUCUGCUGCCCAUCUUGAAGACCAUCGGCAAGCUUUGGUGGGUUCAUAUUCAGUGGCAUUAGGGAUUAAGGCAAACUUAAAAUGAUUCUGAGUGUAAACAGAUACAGAUAUAAACUUUUGGGGGAACAAUUUGGUAAUAGCUAAUAACAAUCGUUAAAAUGUUUAUAUCCUUUGACCUGAUAGUGUUAGUUCUAAGAAUUUACCUUAAGAAAAUAAAUAAAUUUAUAUCCCAUGA
Homo sapiens (human) is the source of this 1061-nucleotide long non-coding RNA. Ensembl annotates it as long intergenic non-protein coding RNA 2958. The record is from Ensembl. Lineage: Eukaryota; Metazoa; Chordata; Mammalia; Primates; Hominidae.